This 242-nucleotide ribosomal RNA is filed under the name uncultured bacterium. RNAcentral's name for it is "partial 16S ribosomal RNA". It matches the Rfam family "Bacterial small subunit ribosomal RNA", at positions 118 to 348 of the family's 1533-position model. The record is from RNAcentral.
UGGGUAACCUGCCUCAAAGAGGGGAAUAGCCUCCCGAAAGGGAGAUUAAUACCGCAUAAUAUGUUUAGGUCGCAUGACUUUAACAUCAAAGGAUUUUCUUUUAGAAAUUCCACUUUGAGAUAGACCCGCGGCGCAUUAGCUAGUUGGUGAGGUAACGGCUCACCAAGGCAACGAUGCGUAGCCGACCUGAGAGGGUNAUCGGCCACAUUGGAACUGAGACACGGCCCAGACUCCGUAGGACG